GCUGGGUGUGGUGGCGCACGCCUGUAAUCCCAGCUACUUGGGAGGCUGAGGCAGGAGAAUUGCUUGAACCCAGAAGGCGGAAGUUGCAGUGAGCUGAGAUCAUGCCAUUGCACUCCAGCCUGGGCAACAGAGUGAGACUCUGUCUCAA
This 148-nucleotide non-coding RNA is filed under the name Gorilla gorilla gorilla (western lowland gorilla). The record is from Rfam by way of RNAcentral. Lineage: Eukaryota; Metazoa; Chordata; Mammalia; Primates; Hominidae.